RNAcentral lists this ribosomal RNA (451 nucleotides) under uncultured Gemmataceae bacterium. RNAcentral describes it as "bacterial SSU rRNA". It matches the Rfam family "Bacterial small subunit ribosomal RNA", at positions 335 to 796 of the family's 1533-position model. The record is from RNAcentral. Lineage: Bacteria; Pseudomonadati; Planctomycetota; Planctomycetia; Gemmatales; Gemmataceae.
UCACCUACGGGCGGCUGCAGUCGAGGAUCUUCGGCAAUGGGCGCAAGCCUGACCGAGCGACGCCGCAUGUGCGAUGAAGGCCUUCGGGUUGUAAAGCACUGUCGAGGGGGAGGAAGCCGCAAGGUUGACCUAUCCCUGGAGGAAGCACGGGCUAAGUUCGUGCCAGCAGCCGCGGUAAGACGAACCGUGCGAACGUUGUUCGGAAUCACUGGGCUUAAAGGGCGCGUAGGCGGACUGCCAAGUCCGGGGUGAAAUCUUUCGGCUCAACCGGAAAAUAGCCUCGGAGACUGGCGGUCUGGAGGGAGGUAGGGGCAGCUGGAACUUCCGGUGGAGCGGUGAAAUGCGUUGAUAUCGGAAGGAACGCCGGUGGCGAAAGCGAGCUGCUGGACCUUUUCUGACGCUGAGGCGCGAAAGCCAGGGGAGCAAACGGGAUUAGAUACCCUUGUAGUCC